This 771-nucleotide ribosomal RNA is filed under the name uncultured bacterium. Its description in RNAcentral is "bacterial SSU rRNA". It matches the Rfam family "Bacterial small subunit ribosomal RNA", at positions 8 to 796 of the family's 1533-position model. The record is from RNAcentral.
AGAGUUUGAUCCUGGCUCAGGACGAACGCUGGCGGCGUGCUUAACACAUGCAAGUCGAACGGAAAGGCCCUUCGGGGUACUCGAGUGGCGAACGGGUGAGUAACACGUGGGUGAUCUGCCCUGCACUUUGGGAUAAGCCUGGGAAACUGGGUCUAAUACCGAAUAUGACCAUGCGCCUCCUGGUGUGUGGUGGAAAGCUUUUGCGGUGUGGGAUGGGCCCGCGGCCUAUCAGCUUGUUGGUGGGGUAAUGGCCUACCAAGGCGACGACGGGCAGCCGGCCUGAGAGGGUGACCGGCCACACUGGGACUGAGAUACGGCCCAGACUCCUACGGGAGGCAGCAGUGGGGAAUAUUGCACAAUGGGCGCAAGCCUGAUGCAGCGACGCCGCGUGAGGGAUGACGGCCUUCGGGUUGUAAACCUCUUUCAGCACAGACGAAGCGCAAGUGACGGUAUGUGCAGAAGAAGGACCGGCCAACUACGUGCCAGCAGCCGCGGUAAUACGUAGGGUCCGAGCGUUGUCCGGAAUUACUGGGCGUAAAGAGCUCGUAGGUGGUUUGUCGCGUUGUUCGUGAAAACUCACAGCUUAACUGUGGGCGUGCGGGCGAUACGGGCAGACUUGAGUACUGCAGGGGAGACUGGAAUUCCUGGUGUAGCGGUGGAAUGCGCAGAUAUCAGGAGGAACACCGGUGGCGAAGGCGGGUCUCUGGGCAGUAACUGACGCUGAGGAGCGAAAGCGUGGGGAGCGAACAGGAUUAGAUACCCUGGUAGUCC